RNAcentral lists this long non-coding RNA (390 nucleotides) under Marmota monax (woodchuck). The record is from RNAcentral. Lineage: Eukaryota; Metazoa; Chordata; Mammalia; Rodentia; Sciuridae.
AUGAAAUGAAUUGCAUUCUGUCAUCAUGUAUAACAAAUUAGAAUAAAUAAAAAAUUUAAUAAAAAAGUAAUGUCUAUCAGAAGAAGCCAGACACAAAAGUGUACCAACAUGUAUAAUUUCAUUACUAUAAAAUUCUAAAACCAGCAAAACUAAUCUAUGGUAUUAGAAGUUAGGUUGAUUACUUUUGGAAGGGUUAAUGUAUUGUUUAAUUUUGCUGAUGAUUGUAUGGGUAUGUUUUAUGAAAAUUCAUGAAGCUGUGUAUUUAUGGUUUGUGUGUUGUAUGCAUGUUGCAUUUCAAUAAAAAGUACAGCGAUAUUGGGGGCUGGGAUUGUGGCUCAGCAGUAGAGUGCUCGUCUAGCAUGGGUGGGACCCGGGUUCGAUCCUCAGCAC